Molecule: ribosomal RNA, 558 nt
Filed under: Schwanniomyces occidentalis
Lineage: Eukaryota; Fungi; Ascomycota; Pichiomycetes; Serinales; Debaryomycetaceae
Description: eukaryotic LSU rRNA
Rfam family: Eukaryotic large subunit ribosomal RNA
Source: RNAcentral
GAGGAAAAGAAACCAACAGGGAUUGCCUUAGUAACGGCGAGUGAAGCGGCAAAAGCUCAAAUUUGAAAUCUGGCACCUUCGGUGUCCGAGUUGUAAUUUGAAGAAGGUAACUUUGGGAUUGGCUCUUGUCUAAGUUCCUUGGAACAGGACGUCACAGAGGGUGAGAAUCCCGUGCGAUGAGAUGACCAAUCCUAUGUAAAGUGCUUUCGAAGAGUCGAGUUGUUUGGGAAUGCAGCUCUAAGUGGGUGGUAAAUUCCAUCUAAAGCUAAAUAUUGGCGAGAGACCGAUAGCGAACAAGUACAGUGAUGGAAAGAUGAAAAGAACUUUGAAAAGAGAGUGAAAAAGUACGUGAAAUUGUUGAAAGGGAAGGGCUUGAGAUCAGACUUGGUAUUUUGCAUUCCUUACCUUCGUGGUGGGGUUCCUUGCAGUUUACUGGGCCAGCAUCGGUUUGGAUGGUGGGAUAAUGACAUUGGAAUGUGGCUCUGCUUCGGUAGAGUGUUAUAGCCAGUGUUGAUACCGCCUGUCUAGACCGAGGACUGCGUCUUUGACUAGGAUGCU